AUUAAAGUUGCUGCUGUUAAAAAGCUCGUAGUUGGAUUUCUGAUGUAAUGUAUUUGUCCCGCUGUGGUUACACAUGUGAGUGACGAAUUACAUUCAUCUGUCUUGUGUUUUUAUUAGUAGAUUGUGAAAGCAAUUUAUUAAUGAUACACAUCUUUUACUUUGAACAAAUUAGAGUGUUUCAAGCAGGCGUCAAGCCCUGAAUACAUGAGCAUGGAAUAAUCAUCGAGGACUUUUAGUUCUUUGUUGGUUGGUUCUAGAACUAUAGUAAUGAUGGAUAGGGAUAGUUGGGGGUGCUAGUAUUCCAAGGCCAGAGGUGAAAUUCUUGGAUUCUUGGAAGACUCACUUAGGCGAAAGCAUUCACCAAGGAUGUCUUCAUUAAUCAAGAACGAAAGUUGGGGGAUCGAAGACGAUCAGAUACCGUCGUAGUCUCAACCAUAAACUAUGCCGACUAGGGAUGAGAUAAUGUUGAAUUUUCGACUUGUUUCGCACCUCAUGAGAAAUCAAAGUCUUUGGGUUCAUGGGGAAGUAUGGUCGCAAGGCUGAAACUUAAAGGAAUUGACGGAAGGGCACCACCAGGAGUGGAGCCUGCGGCUUAAUUUGACACAACACGGGAAAACUUACCAGGUCCGGACAUAGUGAGGAUUGACAGGUUGAAGACCUUUCUUAAUUCUGUGGGUGGUGGUGCAUGGCCGUUCUUAGUUGGUGGAGUGAUUUGUCUGGUUAAUUCCGUUAACGAACGAGACCUCGACCUGCUAAAUAGUUUGUUAAAUGAUUCGUUAUUUACACAAACUUCUUAGAGGAACUGCUGCCGUUCUAGGCAGAGGAAGUACGAGGCAAUAACAGGUCUGUGAUGCCCUUAGAUGUUCUGGGCCGCACGCGCGCUACACUGAUAGAUUCAUCGAGUAUUUUCAUCCUUAACUGUUAAGUUUGGGUAAUCUUUGAAUGUCUAUCGUGCUGGGGAUAGAUGAUUGUAAUUUUUCAUCUUCAACGAGGAAUUCCUAGUAAACGCAAGUCAUCAACUUGCAUUGAUUACGUCCCUGCCCUUUGUACACACCGCCCGUCGCUACUACCGAUUGAAUGGAUUAGUGAGCUUCAAGGAUUGAUGUAUGUUUGGUUCUCCAAAUAUAUGUUAAGAAUUGAAUCAAACUUGCUCAUUUAGAGGAAGUAAAAGUCGUAACAAGGUCUCCGUAGGUGAACCUGCGGAGG
This 1206-nucleotide ribosomal RNA is filed under the name metagenome. Its description in RNAcentral is "SSU rRNA". It matches the Rfam family "Eukaryotic small subunit ribosomal RNA", at positions 603 to 1823 of the family's 1831-position model. The record is from RNAcentral.